AACGAACGCUGGCGGCAUGCCUAACACAUGCAAGUCGAACGAGACCUUCGGGUCUAGUGGCGCACGGGUGCGUAACGCGUGGGAACCUGCCCUUAGGUUCGGAAUAACUCCCCGAAAGGGGUGCUAAUACCGGAUAAUGUCUUCGGACCAAAGAUUUAUCGCCUUUGGAUGGGCCCGCGUUGGAUUAGCUAGUUGGUAGGGUAAAAGCCUACCAAGGCGACGAUCCAUAGCUGGUCUGAGAGGAUGAUCAGCCACACUGGGACUGAGACACGGCCCAGACUCCUAUGGGAGGCAGCAGUGGGGAAUAUUGGACAAUGGGCGAAAGCCUGAUCCAGCAAUGCCGCGUGAGUGAUGAAGGCCUUAGGGUUGUAAAGCUCUUUUACCCGGGACGAUAAUGACAGUACCGGGAGAAUAAGCGCCGGCUAACUCCGUG
RNAcentral lists this ribosomal RNA (433 nucleotides) under uncultured bacterium. RNAcentral's name for it is "partial 16S ribosomal RNA". It matches the Rfam family "Bacterial small subunit ribosomal RNA", at positions 29 to 507 of the family's 1533-position model. The record is from RNAcentral.